AGUGAACGCUGGCGGUAGGCCUAACACAUGCAAGUCGAACGGCAGCACAGUAAGAGCUUGCUCUUACGGGUGGCGAGUGGCGGACGGGUGAGGAAUACAUCGGAAUCUACUUUUUCGUGGGGGAUAACGUAGGGAAACUUACGCUAAUACCGCAUACGACCUACGGGUGAAAGCAGGGGAUCUUCGGACCUUGCGCGAUUGAAUGAGCCGAUGUCGGAUUAGCUAGUUGGCGGGGUAAAGGCCCACCAAGGCGACGAUCCGUAGCUGGUCUGAGAGGAUGGACAGGCACACUGGAACUGAGACACGGUGCAGACUCCUACGGGAAGCAGCAGUGGGGAAUAUUGGACAAUGGGCGCAAGCCUGAUCCAGCCAUACCGCGUGAGUGAAGAAGGCCUUCGGGUUGUAGAGCCCUGUUGUUGGGAAAGAAAAGCAGCAGGUUAAUACCCCGCGGUUCUGACGGUACCCAAAGAAUAAGCACCGGCUAACUUCGUG
This 492-nucleotide ribosomal RNA is filed under the name uncultured bacterium. Its description in RNAcentral is "partial 16S ribosomal RNA". It matches the Rfam family "Bacterial small subunit ribosomal RNA", at positions 29 to 507 of the family's 1533-position model. The record is from RNAcentral.